GACGAACGCUGGCGGCGUGCCUAAUACAUGCAAGUUGAGCGCUGAAGGUUGGUACUUGUACCAACUGGAUGAGCAGCGAACGGGUGAGUAACGCGUGGGGAAUCUGCCUUUGAGCGGGGGACAACAUUUGGAAACGAAUGCUAAUACCGCAUAAAAACUUUAAACACAAGUUUUAAGUUUGAAAGAUGCAAUUGCAUCACUCAAAGAUGAUCCCGCGUUGUAUUAGCUAGUUGGUGAGGUAAAGGCUCACCAAGGCGAUGAUACAUAGCCGACCUGAGAGGGUGAUCGGCCACAUUGGGACUGAGACACGGCCCAAACUCCUACGGGAGGCAGCAGUAGGGAAUCUUCGGCAAUGGACGAAAGUCUGACCGAGCAACGCCGCGGGAGUGAAGAAGGGUUUCGGAUCGUAAAACUCUGUUGGUAGAGAAGAACGUUGGUGAGAGUGGAAAGCUCAUCAGGUGACGGUAACUACCCAGAAAGGGACGGCUAACUACGUG
Molecule: ribosomal RNA, 497 nt
Filed under: uncultured bacterium
Lineage: Bacteria
Description: partial 16S ribosomal RNA
Rfam family: Bacterial small subunit ribosomal RNA
Source: RNAcentral